RNAcentral lists this ribosomal RNA (573 nucleotides) under Babesia bigemina. Its description in RNAcentral is "SSU rRNA". It matches the Rfam family "Eukaryotic small subunit ribosomal RNA", at positions 755 to 1331 of the family's 1831-position model. The record is from RNAcentral. Lineage: Eukaryota; Apicomplexa; Aconoidasida; Piroplasmida; Babesiidae.
CUCUGAGAAAAUUAGAGUGUUUCAAGCAGACUUUUGUCUUGAAUACUUCAGCAUGGAAUAAUAGAGUAGGCACUUAGUUCUAUUUUCUUGGUUUUGAGCCCUGGUAAUAGUUUAUAGGAACGGUUGCGGGCAUUCGUAUUUAACUGUCAGAGGUGAAAUUCUUAGAUUUGUUAAAGACGAACCACUGCGAAAAGCAUUUGCCAAGGACGUUUUCAUUAAUCAAGAACGAAAGUUAGGGGAUCGAAGACGAUCAGACACCGUCGUAGUCCUAACCAUAAACUAUGCCGACUAGGGAUUGGAGGCAGGCAUUUUCCGACUCCAUCAGCACCUUGAGAGAAAUCAAAGUCUUAGAGUUAUAGGGAGAGUAUAGUCGCAAGUCUAAGACUUAAAGGAAUUGACGUAAGGGCACCACCAGGCGUGGAGCCUGCGGCUUAAUUUGACUCAACACGGGGAACCUCACCAGGUCCAGACAGAGUAAGGAUUGACAGAUUGAUAGCUCUUUCUUGAUUCUUUGGGUGGUGGUUCACGGCCGUUAUUAGUUGGUGGAGUGAUUUGUCUGGUUAAUUCCGUUAA